CAGUAGCCACGGUAAUACGGAGGGUGCAAGCGUUAAUCGGAAUUACUGGGCGUAAAGCGCACGCAGGCGGUUUGUUAAGUCAGAUGUGAAAUCCCCGAGCUUAACUUGGGAACUGCAUUUGAAACUGGCAAGCUAGAGUCUUGUAGAGGGGGGUAGAAUUCCAGGUGUAGCGGUGAAAUGCGUAGAGAUCUGGAGGAAUACCGGUGGCGAAGGCGGCCCCCUGGACAAAGACUGACGCUCAGGUGCGAAAGCGUGGGGAGCAAACAGGAUUAGAGACCCCAGUAGUCCCUGUCUCUUAUAC
Molecule: ribosomal RNA, 301 nt
Filed under: uncultured bacterium
Lineage: Bacteria
Description: partial 16S ribosomal RNA
Rfam family: Bacterial small subunit ribosomal RNA
Source: RNAcentral